RNAcentral lists this ribosomal RNA (497 nucleotides) under uncultured bacterium. RNAcentral describes it as "partial 16S ribosomal RNA". It matches the Rfam family "Bacterial small subunit ribosomal RNA", at positions 28 to 507 of the family's 1533-position model. The record is from RNAcentral.
GAUGAACGCUGGCGGCGUGCCUAAUACAUGCAAGUCGAGCGAACGGACGAGAAGCUUGCUUCUCUGAUGUUAGCGGCGGACGGGUGAGUAACACGUGGAUAACCUACCUAUAAGACUGGGAUAACUUCGGGAAACCGGAGCUAAUACCGGAUAAUAUUUUGAACCGCAUGGUUCAAAAGUGAAAGACGGUCUUGCUGUCACUUAUAGAUGGAUCCGCGCUGCAUUAGCUAGUUGGUAAGGUAGCGGCUUACCAAGGCAACGAUGCAUAGCCGACCUGAGAGGGUGAUCGGCCACACUGGAACUGAGACACGGUCCAGACUCCUACGGGAGGCAGCAGUAGGGAAUCUUCCGCAAUGGGCGAAAGCCUGACGGAGCAACGCCGCGUGAGUGAUGAAGGCCUUCGGAUCGUAAAACUCUGUUAUUAGGGAAGAACAUAUGUGUAAGUAACUGUGCACAUCUUGACGGUACCUAAUCAGAAAGCCACGGCUAACUACGUG